RNAcentral lists this transfer RNA (62 nucleotides) under Ebrechtella tricuspidata. RNAcentral's name for it is "tRNA-Gln". The record is from RNAcentral. Lineage: Eukaryota; Metazoa; Arthropoda; Arachnida; Araneae; Thomisidae.
UCUAUUAUGGUGUUAUUGCACAUGAAGAUUUGACUUUCAAAGAGAUUAAUAAUCUAAUAGAA